RNAcentral lists this long non-coding RNA (407 nucleotides) under Homo sapiens (human). Its description in RNAcentral is "HSALNT0022058". The record is from RNAcentral. Lineage: Eukaryota; Metazoa; Chordata; Mammalia; Primates; Hominidae.
GAGGUUAGAUUUAGUUUUUAUAAAGGCAACAUUUUGUUUUUGACUAUAAAAUGCUGCCAAAUAUACAGCAUGCAUUCUGCUCCCACUCUGUCCUUGGAAGACACUGAUCAUCGGUCAAAAUAUUCUUCCCUGAGAAGCCACGUAGGUUCUUAACCCUUCUCAACACAGCACAUCAAAUAGAUAGCUGCUAUCAGCUGAAAGUAACUGGUAGCUGAUGUGAAAUCUCUUUGGAAUAACACAUAGAAAAAAAAAAAAGGUGAAUACUCAAUGACUUCAAAUUCUGAUCCAGCUUUGUUGCUGACCAACAACUCUAACAUGCAUGCUGUGGUACUCUGAUAUCUUGUGUGCAAUAGAUAUUCAACAGUUAACUGUUUAUUAGUUAAUAUUUAUUGCCAAACUAUUUUGCC